RNAcentral lists this ribosomal RNA (436 nucleotides) under uncultured bacterium. RNAcentral describes it as "partial 16S ribosomal RNA". It matches the Rfam family "Bacterial small subunit ribosomal RNA", at positions 29 to 507 of the family's 1533-position model. The record is from RNAcentral.
GCGAACGCUGGCGGCAGGCUUAACACAUGCAAGUCGCGCGGGCAUCCUUGUGGUGUCCGCGGCAGACGGGUGAGUAACGCGUGGGAACGUGCCCUUCGGUUCGGAAUAACUCAGGGAAACUUGAGCUAAUACCGGAUACGUGCGAGAGCAGAAAGGUUUAUCUGCCGAAGGAUCGGCCCGCGUCUGAUUAGCUAGUUGGUGAGGUUAUGGCUCACCAAGGCGACGAUCAGUAGCUGGUCUGAGAGGAUGAUCAGCCACACUGGGACUGAGACACGGCCCAGACUCCUACGGGAGGCAGCAGUGGGGAAUAUUGGACAAUGGGGGCAACCCUGAUCCAGCCAUGCCGCGUGAGUGAUGACGGCCUUAGGGUUGUAAAGCUCUUUUCUCCGGGACGAUAAUGACGGUACCGGAGGAAUAAGCCCCGGCUAACUUCGUG